GAUCAUGGCUCAGGACGAACGCUGGCGGCGUGCUUAACACAUGCAAGUCGAACGGGAAUCUACUGAAAGAGUUUUCGGACAAUGGAAGUAGAGGAAAGUGGCGGACGGGUGAGUAACACGUAUCCAACCUGCCGUCUACUCUUGGACAGCCUUCUGAAAGGAAGAUUAAUACAAGAUGGCAUCAUGAGUCCGCAUGUUCACAUGAUUAAAGGUAUUCCGGUAGACGAUGGGGAUGCG
RNAcentral lists this ribosomal RNA (237 nucleotides) under uncultured bacterium. Its description in RNAcentral is "partial 16S ribosomal RNA". It matches the Rfam family "Bacterial small subunit ribosomal RNA", at positions 15 to 235 of the family's 1533-position model. The record is from RNAcentral.